UACGUAGGUUCCAAGCGUUACCCGGUUUUAUUGGGCGUAAAGCGUCUGUAGGUUGUUUUUUAAGUCUUAUUUCAAAGACUCCGGCUCAACCGGAGAAAGGGGUAGGAUACUGGAAGACUAGAGUGAUAUCGGGGUUACUGGAAUUUAUAGUGUAGGGGUAAAAUCCGUGGAUACUAUAAAGAACACCAAGCGCGAAGGCGGGUAACUAGGUAUAUACUGACACUGAGAGACGAAAGCUAGGGGAGCAAAUCAG
RNAcentral lists this ribosomal RNA (253 nucleotides) under uncultured bacterium. Its description in RNAcentral is "partial 16S ribosomal RNA". It matches the Rfam family "Bacterial small subunit ribosomal RNA", at positions 524 to 776 of the family's 1533-position model. The record is from RNAcentral.